This is a non-coding RNA of Caenorhabditis elegans, 21 nucleotides long. NCBI's taxonomy places the organism in Eukaryota, Metazoa, Nematoda, Chromadorea, Rhabditida, Rhabditidae. The record is from Ensembl.
UGAAUAAGACAAAUUAGACAA